Molecule: long non-coding RNA, 1175 nt
Organism: Gymnogyps californianus (California condor)
Lineage: Eukaryota; Metazoa; Chordata; Aves; Accipitriformes; Cathartidae
Exons: 3
Source: RefSeq, a predicted model, not a curated record
GUAACAACACCAAAUUCAAGCAAAUUUAUUGAACAAACUUUCCUUGGAGUUUCUGUUGUGGCCACUCAAGGCAGAUGUUUUCAAAUCUUGGGGAUCAAGAAGUCCCAAGGCAUCAGCUACUACUGGGACAUUAUCUAUCAAAGUAACAUUAUUUAUUAGGAAGCUGAUGAAUCAACGCCAGAGAUUUGCACUUAGGAGUUGUUCUCGAGGACCAGCCAUGUUGCAGCCCUACAACUCUGGCCAUGCAGAGGUCUCUUGCACACCCCCAGGAGCAGAGGCGGACUUAUCCAUGCAGGCACACUCCUGGUCACCCUCCACUGCUUCAGCAAAACACGGCCCAGCUGUUGAGAGCACAGCUGGAUUUCCUUUCAACAGUGCUGUUGCUGCUGCCAUCGUUCACAAAGGCUGGAAGCCUGGUAAAAAAAUGUGGCUGUAGGUUGCUCUUACACAGAUGCUUUCACAUCCUGGGGCCAGCUGGCAGCCUGCAGGGCACUGCUGUCCUCAGCGGUGUCUAACUGUGGAAAAAAAAAGUGCAGGUUAGAAGAGAGGAGCUGUCCUUGUCCAGUCAAGCCUAUGAACGCACAGAUGCUGGUGGACAUCCAUGUAUUAUUCCUUUGUGUAGGAGCAUGUCAGAGUCCAUGACUCUGCUAGAGUAAGUGGUACAUAAACAUACAUAGAUGUGUAUAUAUAUUCACAUAAAAAGCAGAUACAUAGCCCUGAGGGGUGUGAUCAGCCACUGGGUUUAUCAAGAAGAGCUUGUACCUUAGUUUGUGCAUCAGCAAAGCACUUUUCAAGUAUGGACUUUUCAUGUUGGCAUUCUAAAUACUCCUUUUCAAAGCACAUUAAUCUCUGUAAGCUUUUUCUUUAUUAAUAUGCUGUAAGCUUCAAAGUAUUGUUUCCUCCCAACAUAGCCUCAAAUACUAAGGAGGCACUUGUCCUUGCCUAAUCACAUCUCCAAGUAAGCAAAUAUUGGCAAAAAAUCAUAAACCUGAUUGUUCCCUACAAUCAAAUGAUGUUGAAUUUGGUGGCCAUUCUCACCAUUUAUAAAUAUGAAUCACAAAUAUAUGUUGCCUCAUGGCAUCAUAAAUUGACUUUCUCCUAAAAAACCCCAGUCAAAUGCUCUAAUUCAGCUCUCAGAUGGAGAGCUGUUAAAAUUAACAACAGACCAAAGAUGA